AAAUUGAAGAGUUUGAUCAUGGCUCAGAUUGAACGCUGGCGGCAGGCCUAACACAUGCAAGUCGAACGGUAACAGGAAGAAGCUUGCUUCUUUGCUGACGAGUGGCGGACGGGUGAGUAAUGUCUGGGAAACUGCCUGAUGGAGGGGGAUAACUACUGGAAACGGUAGCUAAUACCGCAUAACGUCGCAAGACCAAAGAGGGGGACCUCCGGGCCUCUUGCCAUCGGAUGUGCCCAGAUGGGAUUAGCUAGUAGGUGGGGUAACGGCUCACCUAGGCGACGAUCCCUAGCUGGUCUGAGAGGAUGACCAGCCACACUGGAACUGAGACACGGUCCAGACUCCUACGGGAGGCAGCAGUGGGGAAUAUUGCACAAUGGGCGCAAGCCUGAUGCAGCCAUGCCGCGUGUAUGAAGAAGGCCUUCGGGUUGUAAAGUACUUUCAGCGGGGAGGAAGGGAGUAAAGUUAAUACCUUUGCUCAUUGACGUUACCCGCAGAAGAAGCACCGGCUAACUCCGUGCCAGCAGCCGCGGUAAUACGGAGGGUGCAAGCGUUAAUCGGAAUUACUGGGCGUAAAGCGCACGCAGGCGGUUUGUUAAGUCAGAUGUGAAAUCCCCGGGCUCAACCUGGGAACUGCAUCUGAUACUGGCAAGCUUGAGUCUCGUAGAGGGGGGUAGAAUUCCAGGUGUAGCGGUGAAAUGCGUAGAGAUCUGGAGGAAUACCGGUGGCGAAGGCGGCCCCCUGGACGAAGACUGACGCUCAGGUGCGAAAGCGUGGGGAGCAAACAGGAUUAGAUACCCUGGUAGUCCACGCCGUAAACGAUGUCGACUUGGAGGUUGUGCCCUUGAGGCGUGGCUUCCGGAGCUAACGCGUUAAGUCGACCGCCUGGGGAGUACGGCCGCAAGGUUAAAACUCAAAUGAAUUGACGGGGGCCCGCACAAGCGGUGGAGCAUGUGGUUUAAUUCGAUGCAACGCGAAGAACCUUACCUGGUCUUGACAUCCACGGAAGUUUUCAGAGAUGAGAAUGUGCCUUCGGGAACCGUGAGACAGGUGCUGCAUGGCUGUCGUCAGCUCGUGUUGUGAAAUGUUGGGUUAAGUCCCGCAACGAGCGCAACCCUUAUCCUUUGUUGCCAGCGGUCCGGCCGGGAACUCAAAGGAGACUGCCAGUGAUAAACUGGAGGAAGGUGGGGAUGACGUCAAGUCAUCAUGGCCCUUACGACCAGGGCUACACACGUGCUACAAUGGCGCAUACAAAGAGAAGCGACCUCGCGAGAGCAAGCGGACCUCAUAAAGUGCGUCGUAGUCCGGAUUGGAGUCUGCAACUCGACUCCAUGAAGUCGGAAUCGCUAGUAAUCGUGGAUCAGAAUGCCACGGUGAAUACGUUCCCGGGCCUUGUACACACCGCCCGUCACACCAUGGGAGUGGGUUGCAAAAGAAGUAGGUAGCUUAACCUUCGGGAGGGCGCUUACCACUUUGUGAUUCAUGACUGGGGUGAAGUCGUAACAAGGUAACCGUAGGGGAACCUGCGGUUGGAUCACCUCCUUACCUUAAAGAAGC
RNAcentral lists this ribosomal RNA (1554 nucleotides) under Escherichia coli. RNAcentral describes it as "bacterial SSU rRNA". It matches the Rfam family "Bacterial small subunit ribosomal RNA". Lineage: Bacteria; Pseudomonadati; Pseudomonadota; Gammaproteobacteria; Enterobacterales; Enterobacteriaceae. The record is from RNAcentral.